CUUAUGUUAAGAGGCUAUAUCGUUCGAAGAAAUGAUAACCAAAGUAGAAUAGUUCCAACGGCUACAAUGUUAUCUAAUUAAUCUUCCUGGGAACAACUUGAUUAAGUCGAGCAGAAAAUGUUAACUUUUAGAAGUCCUUUUUUCAUGUGUACUUUGAUUUUUUCAAAACAGCUGUGUGUUAAUUUUUGUUUUUUGUUAAAAGAAAUAAAAAAAUGUGAAGUGGUUUGUAGGUCUAUUACGAUUAUUCUGAAUGCCUCUAUUUUUGAUGGCUGUUUCGAAAACAGAUGCGAGGACAGAGUGACCAUUACUAUUCAAAUAUUGACAAUUACAAAGGAGACACGAAAACUGGAUAACAAUGAUGAAAAUCGUGAAUUUUGCCUCUUGAAAUUCAAUUUGCCAAUAUAUCGAUGGAAUUAAAAAAAGUCGAAAAAACACAAGCAGUCGUUGAUUCCUCCAUAAACCACCGUGUUAAAUAAUGCAGCAUUGAAGACAAAAGACGACGCAAUUUUAAAUCGAAAAAUUUCGCUGUGAAAUAUUUCUUGACUCCGAUUGGAGUUAACUUUUUCCGAACUAGUUUUGAGGCCUGGGACGGCUCUUGAGGAAUAAGGAAGUACGUGCAUGCUAGAAAACAAGCAGGAAGCUCCAACGCAUUCGCGUCGGAAAGCGGCUCUGGCGACGGUAGGUAGUUGUUACGCGUUUACGGUUUCCUUGGUAACCUUUGUUUGCUAUCAGCU
This is a non-coding RNA of Bemisia tabaci, 734 nucleotides long. NCBI's taxonomy places the organism in Eukaryota, Metazoa, Arthropoda, Insecta, Hemiptera, Aleyrodidae. The record is from RefSeq and is a predicted model, not a curated record.